This 274-nucleotide ribosomal RNA is filed under the name uncultured bacterium. RNAcentral's name for it is "partial 16S ribosomal RNA". It matches the Rfam family "Bacterial small subunit ribosomal RNA", at positions 523 to 796 of the family's 1533-position model. The record is from RNAcentral.
AUACGGGGGGUGCAAGCGUUGUCCGGAUUUAUUGGGCGUAAAGGGCUCGUAGGCGGUCUGUCACGUCGGAUGUGAAAACUCGGAGCUCAACUCCGGGCCUGCAUCCGAUACGGGCAGACUAGAGUUCGGUAGGGGAGAUUGGAAUUCCUGGUGUAGCGGUGGAAUGCGCAGAUAUCAGGAGGAACACCGAUGGCGAAGGCAGAUCUCUGGGCCGAUACUGACGCUGAGGAGCGAAAGCGUGGGGAGCAAACAGGAUUAGAAACCCCAGUAGUCC